RNAcentral lists this unclassified non-coding RNA (358 nucleotides) under soil metagenome. RNAcentral describes it as "partial contains 5.8S ribosomal RNA, internal transcribed spacer 2, and large subunit ribosomal RNA". The stretch from base 1 to 120 matches the Rfam family "5.8S ribosomal RNA", at positions 35 to 154 of the family's 154-position model. The record is from RNAcentral.
GAUGAAGAACGUGGCGAAAUGCGAUAAGUAAUGUGAAUUGCAGAAUUCAGUGAAUCAUCGAAUCUUUGAACGCACAUUGCGCCCGUCAGUAUUCUGGCGGGCAUGCCUGUUCGAGCGUCAUUACGCCCCUCAAGUCCCCUGUGGACUUGGUGUUGGGGAUCGGCGAGGCUGGUUUUCCAGCACAGCCGUCCCUUAAAUUAAUUGGCGGUCUCGCCGUGGCCCUCCUCUGCGCAGUAGUAAAACACUCGCAACAGGAGCCCGGCGCGGUCCACUGCCGUAAAACCCCCCAACUUUUUAUAGUUGACCUCGAAUCAGGUAGGACUACCCGCUGAACUUAAGCAUAUCAAUAAGCGGAGGA